AUCCAGCUGAUGAGUCCCAAAUAGGACGAAAUGCACUUCCUGGAU
This 45-nucleotide non-coding RNA is filed under the name Schistosoma haematobium. Lineage: Eukaryota; Metazoa; Platyhelminthes; Trematoda; Strigeidida; Schistosomatidae. The record is from RNAcentral.